Molecule: ribosomal RNA, 261 nt
Filed under: uncultured bacterium
Lineage: Bacteria
Description: partial 16S ribosomal RNA
Rfam family: Bacterial small subunit ribosomal RNA
Source: RNAcentral
GUCCACGCCGUAAACGAUGUCAACUAGCCGUUGGGAGUCUUGAACUCUUAGUGGCGCAACUAACGCAUUAAGUUGACCGCCUGGGGAGUACGGCCGCAAGGUUAACUCAAAUGAAUUGACGGGGCCCGGCACAAGCGGUGGAGCAUGUGGUUUAAUUCGAAGCAACGCGAAGAACCUUACCAGGCCUUGACAUCCAAUGAACUUUCUAGAGAUAGAAGGGUGCCUUCGGGAACAUUGAGACAGGUGCUGCAUGGCUGUCGU